GCUGGCGGCAGGCUUAACACAUGCAAGUUGAACGGGAUUGUGGGUGCUGCAUCUGACAAUGAGAGUAGCGCACUGGUGAGUAACACGUGGGAACAUGCCUUUUGGUGGGGGACAACAGGAGGAAACUUCUGCUAAUACCGCAUAAGCCCUAAGGGGGAAAGAUAUAUUGCCCGAAAAGAUUGGCCCGCGGAAGAUUAGGUAGUUGGUGGGGUAAAGGCCUACCAAGCCGACGAUCUAUAGCUGGUCUGAGAGGACGAACAGCCACAUUGGAACUGAGACACGGUCCAGACUCCUACGGGAGGCAGCAGUGAGGAAUAUUGGGCAAUGGAGGAAACUCUGAACCCCCAGCCAUGCCGCGUGAGUGAAGAAGGUUUUCGAAUUGUAAAGCUCUUUCGGAUGUGACGAUGAUGACGGUAACAUCUAAAGAAGCCCCGGCAAACUUCGUGCCAGCCGCCGC
This 457-nucleotide ribosomal RNA is filed under the name uncultured bacterium. RNAcentral's name for it is "bacterial SSU rRNA". It matches the Rfam family "Bacterial small subunit ribosomal RNA", at positions 35 to 518 of the family's 1533-position model. The record is from RNAcentral.